Molecule: ribosomal RNA, 906 nt
Filed under: uncultured archaeon
Lineage: Archaea
Description: bacterial SSU rRNA
Rfam family: Archaeal small subunit ribosomal RNA
Source: RNAcentral
GGUUGAUCCCGCCGGACCUGACUGCUAUCGGAUUGAUAUUAAGCCAUGUUAGUCUUUGUAGUAAUACAAGGCAGACGGCUCAGUAACACGUAGUCAACCUAACCUAUGGACGAGGAUAACUUCGGGAAACUGAGGAUAAUACUCGAUAGGUCAUUAUGCCUGGAAUGGUUUAUGGUCGAAAUGAAUUUCGCCGUAGGAUGGGACUGCGGGCUAUCAGCUUGUUGGUGAGGUAAUGGCCCACCAAGGCGAUUACAGCUACGGGCUCUGAGAGGAGUAGCCCGGAGAUGGGUACUGAGACAAGGACCCAGGCCCUAUGGGGCGCAGCAGGCGAGAAAACUUUGCAAUGAGCGAAAGCUCGACAAGGUUAAUCCGAGUGGUUUCUGCUAAAGGAACCUUUUGCUAGUCGUAAAACCACUAGCGAAUAAGGGGUGGGCAAGUUCUGGUGUCAGCCGCCGCGGUAAAACCAGCACCUCAAGUGGUCAGGAUGAUUAUUGGGCCUAAAGCAUCCGUAGCCUGUUUUGUAAAUCUCCGGUUAAAUCCAUCAACUCAAGUGAUGGGCCGCCGGAGAUACUGCAAAACUAGGGAAUGGGAGAGGUAGACGGUACUCGGUAGGAAGGGGUAAAAUCCUUUGAUCUAUUGAUGACCACCUGUGGCGAAGGCGGUCUACCAGAACAUGUUCGACGGUGAGGGAUGAAAGCUGGGGGAGCGAACCGGAUUAGAUACCCGGGUAGUCCCAGCUGUAAACGAUGCAGACUCGGUGAUGCGUUGGCUUGUUGCUAGCGCAGUGCCGCAGGAAGCCGUUAAGUUUGCCGCCUGGGAAGUACGUACGCAAGUAUGAAACUUAAAGGAAUUGGCCGGGGGAGCACCACAAGGGGUGAAGCCUGCGGUUCAAUUGGAGUCAACGCC